CAGCCGCCACGGGAAUACGUAGGGCGCAAGCGUUGUCCGGAAUUAUUGGGCGUAAAGAGCUCGUAGGCGGUCUGUCGCGUCUGGUGUGAAAUCCCGAGGCUCAACCUCGGGCUUGCAUCGGGUACGGGCAGACUAGAGUGCGGUAGGGGAGACUGGAAUUCCUGGUGUAGCGGUGGAAUGCGCAGAUAUCAGGAGGAACACCGAUGGCGAAGGCAGGUCUCUGGGCCGCAACUGACGCUGAGGAGCGAAAGCAUGGGGAGCGAACAGGAUUAGAUACCCCAGUAGUCCCUGUCUCUUAUAC
RNAcentral lists this ribosomal RNA (301 nucleotides) under uncultured bacterium. RNAcentral's name for it is "partial 16S ribosomal RNA". It matches the Rfam family "Bacterial small subunit ribosomal RNA", at positions 509 to 807 of the family's 1533-position model. The record is from RNAcentral.